Pongo pygmaeus (Bornean orangutan) is the source of this 766-nucleotide long non-coding RNA. RefSeq lists it as uncharacterized. The record is from RefSeq and is a predicted model, not a curated record. The transcript has 4 exons. NCBI's taxonomy places the organism in Eukaryota, Metazoa, Chordata, Mammalia, Primates, Hominidae.
GUGGAGUUCGGCCCGCGCAGAGAGCGCGCGGAGGCGCUGCCCGAGCCUCUUAACUCCCUUUGCAUCGAUCCUGCCGUUAAUGACAUAACCUUCUCCCCUAAUUAACUGACAACUGCAUUAGGCGGCGCGCCUCCUCCACACGCCGCCCACAGCUUCCCCCACGCAGUUCCGCCCGCGCCGGUGCGGGGCCGGGGCGCAGCAGCUCCACCUGGACUCAACUCAGGGUGCCAACCUGUCUUCUGCCCUACUCUGCCAACAGUAGGUGCUCAGCAGGAAGAAACCAAAAGCCAACCAAAGUCUGGGAUGACCAGAAACAAAUGCCCUAACACUUCAGCUGACCAUAGCAACUGGGAGCAGGACUGACCUCUGCCCUGGGAUGUCACUAAGGGGUGAAGGGGCCAUGGAUGGCCAGGGAUAUCAAGCAUGCCAAGCCAGAAUUCUGCACACCAGCUCCCUGGGACUUCUGCCUGUUCCACAGGGCCUGGCUUGCACACCAGCAGCCCUGUAGUUGGGAAACCAUCCCUGCAGUCUGAAAGAGCUCCCUCUGACCCUGCAGCCCUUAUCCUGGCUUCUGUUGUUAUUUAGGAUAUGGGGUCUCACCUAACAUUGGACAAAUGCAACGUGGAUCAGAGAUUGUGCUCGGGAGUCAGGGAGAUUGAAGUUUCCUUCCUGGAUCAGCUGCUUGUUAGCCCUAUCACCUUGCUUGGCCUCACUAAGCCUCACUGUAAAACCGGGAAAAUAAAAUAGGAUAGUUAUGAAAAUUAAA